GGGAUAUCCAUGAUGGUUCCUUUUAGGACCUGGCGGAAGUCCCUGCUGUGACCUCCCGCAGGUUCCGCGCUCUCUCUCAAAGCGCAGCGUCCCCAUCAGCUGUUGGAGCUGCGUGCGUGUGUGCUGCGGUGCUGUGCCACUGGAGCUGGCGACGCUUUUUCCACCUCGUUAUCCCAGAACAGCCCGUGGAGCUUUACCACUCCAUACCAGGGAAAGAAGAAACGAAGAUGAGGUGUUCUUCAUGGCUGGAGCGCCUCGUCUGCUGCCUCCUUCUCCUUCUCAGCCCCGCGGCAUCGCAAUGGACAGGAGCCUGAAUGUACCUGCCCAAUGCAGCACCAGUCUUGUAUGGGAAUAGUGGAGUCAUGGUUGCAGAUUGCCAGUUUUACGUUGCAGCAACACGCUGUCAGUUACUAUAUGAUGCUAAACUUCUGCUGUAUGUUGAACAGGAGGUUUGCUCACUCUUUUUCUUUGGCUUGGAUGGCAUUGGUUCACUGCUUUAGGACUACAGCAACCUGUAUGUACUGAGCAUGGCUGCUGCAAAAUUAUGACACAUUGUUAUGAUUCACUGAUACAAAGCAGUAGAUUUUCAAUGCUUUGAAGGUUAAAGUAGCUUCUGGACUGUUUACAGGUUUUUGAGUCGACAGUGUUCAGAUAUAAACCUUCUGCCUUUGUCCUGUGUCUGACCAGAGACAGUGGCUUGUAGGAGCUGCAUCUCACUUCUGAAAAAGGCUUUUAUUUCUUUCCCACCUGUGUAACAACCUGCUAACCCAGCUGGCGCAAGCAGAAUUCUGAACUUGCAUCUUUCCAGCUGUUAUAAUGUCAGUGCAUUUGAACAAGAGGUGAGAACAACUGACCAUUUUGUUUGCACACGGUAGUAGUGGUGGUAAAGGUCUAUGAGCCACUAAAUGAACUCUCUUCUCUUCCUGAAUAAUUGAUCUCUGAGCCUCACCAGUGUCCCACAUUUAAUUUAGUAAAUGUUAAGUUGGAGAACGGUGUAGCUGUCAGAUGAUAGGGAGGGGAAACUGAGAGGAUGCCAAUUAAUAUUUGAUUGACCGUGAUCACCAGCAGCCAGUUGGCUGUUCCUUUUCACUGUAAAAUGUCUAAAAAGGUUCAAAUAUGGUGCAACUACCUCUCAGACAACAUGGCAUGGUCGUAGGAAUGCUGUCCUGUCUGUGUGUGUCCAGGUUGAACAGGCUUGUCACCGUGUCUCCAGAGCGGUGCUCUCAGCCGCCUGCGACAUAGUUGGAUUAGGUCUGAUUCUUUCCCAGUCCCCGACUGGGCCAAGAAUCCUUAUUGUUAUGUGAUCUUUGACAUGCACCCAGUGUGGUUUUGCCUGAACGGAACAGGACGGGGUGGGGGGAGGGGCACACCUUUAAGGGUACACCCUACUGUGCCAUUUAAUGACUAAAUUAGAUGCCACAUUAAAAAUCACAGCUGGCUUGAAGGUUUUCCCCUUUUCAGUGAUGACCAUAGGUAUAGGAAAACCUUCUGAAGCAUUUCAAACAUGGUAAAUGAAGCAGGUUUUAAAAAACAAAAUAGGUUUUUAAAUUCCUGUAUUAGCAUAUUUGUUACUGCAGAUAUGUUUUGAUAAACACUAUGUUUGGAGUAACUUUGUUUGCAAGCUUUGUAACUGAACUGGAUUCAGCUUCUGUCUGAUUAUCUUGAGCCCUAGUGGGUGAUAAGGUCAGGAGCUGAGGUACUGUAAUCCCAUGCACAGCCAGAGGCAACGUAGACUACUCAUCCAUCCAAAUGAGUGCCGAGGCAAAACAGGAUUCUCAAAUGUACCACAAUAUAAAACACUAACAUAGCAGAGAUGUGUAGAUAUAGAAUCUUCUUGCACACAUAAUUGUGAGGAACACGUUUCACAUCGCAGAUCUUUGGGCUUGCUAGGUGGUGAUACUCCUGUUGUAGA
Molecule: long non-coding RNA, 1912 nt
Organism: Monopterus albus (swamp eel)
Lineage: Eukaryota; Metazoa; Chordata; Actinopteri; Synbranchiformes; Synbranchidae
Exons: 3
Source: RefSeq, a predicted model, not a curated record